Long non-coding RNA from Cornus florida, 3124 nucleotides. RefSeq lists it as uncharacterized. The record is from RefSeq and is a predicted model, not a curated record. Lineage: Eukaryota; Viridiplantae; Streptophyta; Magnoliopsida; Cornales; Cornaceae. The transcript is spliced from 3 exons.
GUGACGUUGGCAUGAUAUUGCAUUGCAUUAGCAUGCAUUGUAUAUAUAUGGUUGGAUGACCUGUUUUGUGAAUUUUAUGAUAUUGUUGUCAUUGUUGAAUUUUUUUUUGAUUGAUAUGAUCUCGUUUACUUUUACCCUAUGCUUUGCAUGGAUUCACGAGGUCGUAAGAGGUGUAUCUUAGACACUUUCUACUGAGCUUUAUGUUCACCCUAUUAUUUUAACAUUUUUUAGGUUUGAGAAAAGAAGGGGCGGGCAACGACCCACCGUAAAUUAAGACUGGACUAGAACUCUUAUUUUGUUAUCUUUUGUAUAGAAACAAUGAUCAUGUACCUUUUAUAAAAAUUCAGUGUAACUCGUAUAGUAUUAUAAUGGUAGAAAUUGUGUAAAUAAAAAUAUUUCAUGGAUUGUAACUUAAUUAAAGUGAUUCCUUGUUUGGAUGAGAUGGAGGAAUGGGACAUUUUAUAUGUAUAUGUUGAUUUUGGAGAUGUUGUAUAUUAUUGUAUUGUGCGUCGGGACAUGAUAUGUUAGUUUUAAGGCCGAGUGAGGCCAUUGCAUUAUUUUUUGUAUUUUAACAGGUUGUAGAAGGACUUUUUCUGCGGAGGUCAUGCCGAAAUUUUAUAUAUUUAUUAUUAUUAUUUUGGUAUCCUUUUGGGGCGUUACAGAAUGUUUCUGGAUUUUCUCAAGAUUCUGCAUGCAUAUGAUGUACUGCAUAUGGUCUUAAUCAGACUGCUUCUCUUAUUGCUUAUAACAUUUUGGAUUGUGUAUGUUGGCUUUCCUUUUUGGUUUUCUAAAUCUGUUUUACCAUAGCUCAGGAAAAAAAAAAAAAAAAAAAAAAAUUCAUAGUUCUCACACCAAGGGAAGCUGGGUAAUUAAACUCUCCAACAAAACGCUACUCGACUUUCGUCCCUCUACUGAACAUAAAAAGAAUAUGAAAUUUUGGCUUCCAGUCGUAUGGGGAACUAAUGGAAGUUUGGAGCCGUUUAGUAUCCAUGAAAUUACCAAAACACCACAUUAAUCAGGCAGAUCUCUAGCGGCUUGUACAAUUCUGGUUACAGAAACCUUUUCUGGGUUCCUGGGGGUCUUGAGGCUGCUGAAGAAGAGGAUCUCGAAAGGGAAGGUUAAGCUUCAGCGUCCACUUCUUCCUAGGGGGCCUCAGCCUUUUAAGUUUGCCAGGAUUGGUGGGGUUUCAGAGAUCCUUGGGUAACCAAAUCCUAUUUUUUCCUUUUAGAAAAUGAUGAUUAUUUUCUUUUGUAUUUUCUCACAAUGUGAAAAUCUUGCAUUUCCUUCUGUUAAUGUAGUCAUGUUCAACUCAUAUGCUUGCUUCAAAUGCACUCAAGAUCGUGUAUGCACUGUAUACAUACAAGGAAUUGGACCCUAGACAUUAAAAACUCUAACCUAGCAUUUAUUAUUAAGCCAAACUGUGUAGUGGUUUUAUCCCGAGUUUUCUAAAUGGCCGUGAAAGGCAAUGGCAAAUGAUCCAUAGAAUGUUUGGAGAAAGGAUGUGGAAUAACAUAACUAACAGACCGAGGGUGAAUUUUCUGUGACUCUUGUGAUCAUAGGACAUACCCCCUUACUAGUAGGUAUGUCAUAUCCUGAUAUGAUAUUUAUGAAUAUUAUUUUUUAUCCGUGACUUACAGUCUAAACUUUUAUCCUUUUCCAAACAUUGUUAACUUGCGCUAAGAACUUAUAUGCUUGGACCUUAAUCUUUCUAUGCUUCUAUAAGGGGCCAUGUCCUUGUCUUAUCUUUGUUGGAUUCCGAUAUUCUUUGGAUACUUGAGGAUAAGUGACUGUCAGAGAUAAUUUAGCAUAAAUGACAUAAUGAAAAUUAAAUUAAAUUUUAUCUAUGCACUAAUUGCCAUGACCUGGUUGUCAGUUGGACCGACCAACAAAGGUUGCAGCUGCCACAGAGGGUUGGGGUUACCAAUUAGUUUUCUCUGCUUGUCCGGUAAUAAUUCGUCCCAGCCAUUAAGGAAAAAAAUGACACUGUUUAAUCUUUAGUCUGGUUUCCCUCGAGAAUAAUCUCCAAUCUAAUUGUUUCUGUCACGAGUUGGAGUCUUUCUUGUAGUUGAUGCCAUGUUCGUUGGGGCUCAGCAAUUGGGCAGUUAUCUUGAAGAUUUAAGGUCUCACUGAAGGUCAAUGGUUAAACUAUGAACUCUGAAGGUAUUUGUGACCAAAAAGACAAUGAGAGACAGACAUUUCAGUUCCAGAUCUCCUUACUCAAACCAGAGACCAAAAAGGUUCCGAGCAUUAAGGACCCUUCUCUUUUUGUACUCUGACAGUCAAUGGAGUCAUAUGACUCAUAUUUUGAGCAUGAUUCUGCCAUGUGGUUAUGGAAGUUGUCAUGCUCUAAUUGUCUCAUGCAAUUUUGAUAAGCCUCUAGUGGUUUGCAAGAUGAUAUAUGAUUAAUCAUUUUCAGAAUUCUAGAUUUUGAAUGCCAAUAGCAUGUUCUUAUAAUCCACACGACUUGUUAACUUGUACAUAUUUAGUGAUUUGUAACGUUCUUCAGAACUUGUUUUCUCUGACACUGAUAACUCAUUUUCAGAUCAAGUCAUGAUGUCAUUAUGCAACUCAGCUCUCAUGCUGACUGAGCUAGUUUGGAGUACAUAAUUUUCUAUUAAUGUAUGUUUUAUUUAGCAUAUAUAUAUAAAGAUAAUAAUUAGCUGGUGUGUUGGUUCAAGUAGACAAUCAAUCCAGCCCACUUCAGCUCUCCAUGUGAACUUUCAGCCAUUGUAACUUGAAGGAAUGAAAGCUGUGGUAUACCACAUCAUUAUGUGUUUUACCCCUUUCAAAUUUUUACUUCUUUUGGUUUGCUAGCUUAUAUCUUCGAGUAGGAAAGAGUAAUGUAGCUAGGAUAAUCGGUCUCAUAAGAUGAAAGCUUGAACACUAACUGUACUGAAAAUGUCAUGUUACCAUUGGAUUUGGAGCAUUAGAAUUGUUGAUAAGCUCCAUGAUCCUCCAAGUAAAAAGGAAAAUGGUUAACAGUUAAAUCUUAUUUAACUAUGCAUCAUUUUACUGGUUCUCCUCUUUAUUUAUGCAAUGAAUAAUACUAAUUGGAUGAGUACUUUUUAAAUUUUGGAUGAACUGUUAAUCUAUGUAAUCUGGACUCUUCAGAAGUAUGCGAAGC